AGGGCGUAUGGUGGAUGCCUUGGCAGACAGGACCGAUGAAGGACGUUUGAGGCUGCGAUAUGCCUCGGGGAGCCGCCAACAGGGCUUUGAUCCGAGGAUUUCCGAAUGGGGGAACCCACCGACCGUCAUGGGUCGGUACCGGCUUCGGCCGGGGGGUACGCAGGGAAGUGAAACAUCUCAGUACCUGCAGGAAAGGAUAUUCCGUGAGUAGUGGCGAGCGAAAGCGGAUGAUGGCCAAACCUUGCGCGUGUGAUACCCGUCGGGGGUUGCGCGCGGGGUGUUGCGGGAUCGCGUGCGCCGGCUCCGACGGGCCGGCCGGCAGUUGCAGAAAACCAUGUGUCAGGGGAACCGGGUUGAAUACCGGGCCGCAGAGGGUGAGGGCCCCGUACCUGAACGCGCAUGGUCUGCCGAUCGCGUCUCCCAAGUAGCACGGGUCCCGUGGAACCCCGUGCGAAUCCGCCCAGACCGUUGGGUAAGCCUGAAUAUUCCUGUCUGACCGAUAGCGAACGAGUACCGUGAGGGAAAGGUGAAAAGUACCCCGGGAGGGGAGUGAAACAGUCUCUGAAACCGUGCGCCUACAAUCCGUCGGAGCCCUUUUGUGGGGUGACGGCGUGCCUAUCGAAAAAUGAGUCUGCGAGUCAGUGGCAUGUGGCGAGCAUAACCCGUGUGGGGUAUGCGUAGCGAAGGCGAGUCUUAAAAGGCGUUUGAGUCGCGUGUCCUGGACCCGAAGCGGGAUGAUCUAGCCCUGAGCAGGUUGAAGCGCGGGUAAGACCGCGUGGAGGACCGAACCCACCUGGGUUGAAAACCGGGGGGAUGACUUGGGGCUAGGGGUGAAAGGCCAAUCAAAUUCCGUGAUAGCUGGUUCUCUCCGAAAUGCAUUUGGGUGCAGCGUCGGGUCAUUACGUCCCGGGGGUAGAGCUACUGGAUGCUUGCGGGCCCGUAUCGGGUACCAACAGCAACCAAACUCCGAAUACCGGUGACGCGUAUCCCGGCAGUGAGUCGGCGGGGGAUAAGCUUCGUCGUCGAAAGGGAAACAGCCCAGACCGUCGUCUAAGGUCCCGAAGCGUGUGCUAAGUGGGAAAGGAUGUGGAGUCGCAUAGACAGCCAGGAGGUUGGCUCAGAAGCAGCCACCCUUGAAAGAGUGCGUAACAGCUCACUGGUCUAGUGGUUCCGCGCCGACAAUGUAGCGGGGCUCAAGCACACCACCGAAGACGCGGCAGUAUUUUGUACUGGGUAGGAGAGCGUCCCAUGAGGGGCGAAGCGGCCGUGUGAACGCGCCGUGGACUUCAUGGGAGUGAGAAUGCAGACAUGAGUAGCGAGAGACGGGUGAAGAUCCCGUCCGCUGGAUGACCAAGGGUUCCAGGGCCACGUUCAUCGUCCCUGGGUGAGUCGGGUCCUAAGGCGAGGCCGACAGGCGUAGUCGAAUGGAUGAACGGGUCGAUAUUCCCGUACCGGCUUUCAGCCGCCAAAACCGAGGCUUGGAGUACUAACCUCCGGGUCCGGGCUUACUGCUCCUUCGGGGGCGGGAUGCCCUGGCCUGUUGGGACCGAUCCUUGUAGUAGGUCAGCGCAGGAGUGACGCAGAAGGGUAGCCGGCCGCGGAGGUGGUCUUCCGUGGUCAAGCACGCAGGGCGUGGGACAGGCAAAUCCGUCCCGCAUGGGUCCGAGGUGCGAUGAUGGGGGCCUUAUGGCCCGAUAUCCGGUGAUCCCGGCUGCCGAGAAAAGCUUCGGCGUCAGGCUCAAAGCCGCCCGUACCCCAAACCGACACUGGUGGUCAGGUAGAGAAUACCAAAGCGAUCGAGCGAAUCCUGGUCAAGGAACUCGGCAAAUCACUCCCGUUCCUUCGGUUUAAGGGAGACCCCCGAUGGUGAACACACUUGCUGUGGGAGCUUUUGGGGGUGGCACAGACCAGGGGGUAGCGACUGUUUACCAAAAACACAGGUGCAUGCGAAGGCGCAAGCCGCUGUAUAUGCACUGACGCCUGCCCGGUGCCGGAAGGUUAAGAGGAUCCGUCAGCCUUCGGGUGAAGCGGUGAAUUCAAGCCCCGGUAAACGGCGGUGGUAACUAUAACCAUCCUAAGGUAGCGAAAUUCCUUGUCGGGUAAGUUCCGACCUGCACGAAUGGCGUAAUGAUGGCCAGGCUGUCUCCACCCGAGACUCAGUGAAAUUGAACUCGCUGUGAAGAUGCAGUGUACCCGCGGCAAGACGGAAAGACCCCGUGAACCUUUACUAUAGCUUGACACUGAACAUUGAGCCUUGAUGUGUAGGAUAGGUGGGAGGCUUUGAAGUGUGGACGCCAGUCUGCAUGGAGCCGACCUUGAAAUACCACCCUUUAAUGUUUGAUGUUCUAACGUUGGCCCGUAAUCCGGGUUGCGGACAGUGUCUGGUGGGUAGUUUGACUGGGGCGGUCUCCUCCUAAAGAGUAACGGAGGAGCACGAAGGUUGGCUAAUCCUGGUCGGACAUCAGGAGGUUAGUGCAAUGGCAUAAGCCAGCUUGACUGCGAGCGUGACGGCGCGAGCAGGUGCGAAAGCAGGUCAUAGUGAUCCGGUGGUUCUGAAUGGAAGGGCCAUCGCUCAACGGAUAAAAGGUACUCCGGGGAUAACAGGCUGAUACCGCCCAAGAGUUCAUAUCGACGGCGGUGUUUGGCA
RNAcentral lists this ribosomal RNA (2647 nucleotides) under human gut metagenome. Its description in RNAcentral is "bacterial LSU rRNA". It matches the Rfam family "Bacterial large subunit ribosomal RNA", at positions 14 to 2523 of the family's 2925-position model. The record is from RNAcentral.